UGAAUGCCGGUAUGAGUAGCGAGAGGCAUGCGAGAAACAUGCCCGUCGAAAGCCCAAGGUUUCCUGGGGAAGGUUCAUCCGCCCAGGGUAAGUCGGGGCCUAAGCCGAGGACGGAAGUCGUAGGCGAUGGACAGCAGGUGUAGAUUCCUGCACUACCGAUGGAAUGAAGCAGUGACACAGAAGGAUAACUCGAGCAGGGUGAUGGUCAACCCUGUGCAAGCAUCAAGGUUGGGUUGUAGUGAAGUACGCAACCCUAUAAGCUGAGGUGUGAUGCGGACCGAAAUUUCAGUAGGGAAGCGAGUGAGUUCACGCUGGCGAGAAAAGCUGCUAGUACAUCCAAAGGUACCCGUACCGGAAACCGACGCAGGUGGGCGAGGAGAGAAUCCUGAGACGAACGGGAGAACCCUUGUUAAGGAACUCGGCAAAAUGACCCCGUAACUUCGGGAUAAGGGGUGCCUGCAAGAGCAGGCCGCAGAGAAUAGUCACAAGCGACUGUUUAGCAAAAACACAGGUAUCUGCGAAAGCGAGAGCUGACGUAUAGGUGCUGACACCUGCCCGGUGCUGGAAGGUUAAGGGAACAUGUUAGAGCAAUCGAAGCAUCGAACCGAAGCCCCAGUAAACGGCGGCCGUAACGAUAACGGUCCUAAGGUAGCGAAAUUCCUUGUCGGGUAAGUUCCGACCCGCACGAAUGGUGUAACGACUUGUGAGCUGUCUCAACAGGGGGCCCGGUGAAAUUGAAGUAUGGGUGAAGAUGCCCAUUACCCGCGACUGGACGGAAAGACCCCGUAGAGCUUUACUGCAGCCUGAUAUUGAGUUUCGGUAACUGAUGCACAGGUUAGGUGGGAGUCUGAGAGACAUGGGUUUCGGCUCAUGUGGAGACGGUGUUGGGAUACCACUCUUCGGUUACUGAAAUUCUAACAUAGCUCUGUGAAACCAGAGGAUGGACAGUGUCAGGUGGACAGUUUGACUGGGGCGGUCGCCUCCGAAAGAGUAACGGAGGCGCCCAAAGGUACCCUCAGAAUGGAUGGAAACCAUUCGAAGAGCGCAAAGGCAGAAGGGUGCCUGGCUGCGAGAUUGACAAAUCGAGCAGAGACGAAAGUCGGGCUUAGUGAUCCGGCGGUAUUGAGUGGAAAAGCCGUCGCUUAACGGAUAAAAGCUACCUCGGGGAUAACAGGCUGAUCUCCCCCAAGAGUCCACAUCGACGGGGAGGUUUGGCACCUCGAUGUCGGCUCGUCGCAUCCUGGGGCUGAAGCAGGUCCCAAGGGUUUGGCUGUUCGCCAAUUAAAGCGGCACGCGAGCUGGGUUCAGAACGUCGUGAGACAGUUCGGUCCUUAUCCAUCGUGGGCGUAGGCGUCAUGAGAG
This 1362-nucleotide ribosomal RNA is filed under the name metagenome. Its description in RNAcentral is "bacterial LSU rRNA". It matches the Rfam family "Bacterial large subunit ribosomal RNA", at positions 1291 to 2668 of the family's 2925-position model. The record is from RNAcentral.